AUUUAACAUCGGUUAUCGAAGCAGUUUGACGCCGAUAAUGCUAAAAUAAAAUGUAGUCUUCGCGCAAAUCGUUUUCAACAAAAUUACACCACAUGAUUAAACAUUAAUAACAAUGUCGUGAUAUCAACAAAGGAACACCAUUGUAUCUAGAAAAAUGCCUUAGUUUGUUCGACUUUGUUCUCAUACAUACGCGACUGAAACGGUGUACACUUUCUUUUGUGGCGUGACGGAAGAGAAAUCUG
RNAcentral lists this unclassified non-coding RNA (242 nucleotides) under Bombus terrestris (buff-tailed bumblebee). RNAcentral describes it as "misc RNA ENSBTSG00005035343.1". Lineage: Eukaryota; Metazoa; Arthropoda; Insecta; Hymenoptera; Apidae. The record is from RNAcentral.